Molecule: long non-coding RNA, 447 nt
Filed under: Nicotiana benthamiana
Lineage: Eukaryota; Viridiplantae; Streptophyta; Magnoliopsida; Solanales; Solanaceae
Description: long non-coding RNA (NBEN_LNC026142)
Source: RNAcentral
CCUCCAAAGCAUCAAACUCCUGUCUCAUUGCAUCCUCCUAUGCUGGGACAGAUGCAGCUUGAGAGUAGUACAUAGGUUCAGAUUCCAAAGUGGAAGAAGAGGAACAGAAAAGGUAGGCAGUUGACAAAGGUAGGAAGGAGGAUUAUGCUGUCUAGUGGACUUUCUAGGUGUGGGAAGAGGAUGGGAAGAAGGUAACACAGGAGUAGGGAGAUCAGGAUUGAAAGAAGGAAGGGAAGAUUGACCAACAUCAGGAAAAUCAGGUGUAGGAGAAUCAGAAUUAGAUGGAAGAACAGGAGAAUCAGGGGAAGCGAAUAUAGGAAAGUCUGAGGCAGUGAAAUCAUCAGCAGGAGGAAUAUAAGGAAAUUAUGAAGAAGAAGGGUGAGAAGAAGUAGGAUUAUUCUUAAAAGGGAAAUAAGUUUCAUGGAAGACAACAUCCCUUGAAACAAA